Molecule: ribosomal RNA, 600 nt
Filed under: uncultured bacterium
Lineage: Bacteria
Description: bacterial SSU rRNA
Rfam family: Bacterial small subunit ribosomal RNA
Source: RNAcentral
GAGCUUCAGGCCUAACACAUGCAAGUCGAGCGGGCAUAGCAAUAUGUCAGCGGCAGACGGGUGAGUAACGCGUGGGAACGUACCUUUUGGUUCGGAACAACACAGGGAAACUUGUGCUAAUACCGGAUAAGCCCUUACGGGGAAAGAUUUAUCGCCGAAAGAUCGGCCCGCGUCUGAUUAGCUAGUUGGUGAGGUAAUGGCUCACCAAGGCGACGAUCAGUAGCUGGUCUGAGAGGAUGAUCAGCCACAUUGGGACUGAGACACGGCCCAAACUCCUACGGGAGGCAGCAGUGGGGAAUAUUGGACAAUGGGCGCAAGCCUGAUCCAGCCAUGCCGCGUGAGUGAUGAAGGCCCUAGGGUUGUAAAGCUCUUUUGUGCGGGAAGAUAAUGACGGUACCGCAAGAAUAAGCCCCGGCUAACUUCGUGCCAGCAGCCGCGGUAAUACGAAGGGGGCUAGCGUUGCUCGGAAUCACUGGGCGUAAAGGGUGCGUAGGCGGGUCUUUAAGUCAGGGGUGAAAUCCUGGAGCUCAACUCCAGAACUGCCUUUGAUACUGAAGAUCUUGAGUUCGGGAGAGGUGAGUGGAACUGCGAGUGUAGAGG